RNA transcript from Erigeron canadensis, 2206 nucleotides. RefSeq lists it as uncharacterized. The transcript has 2 exons. The record is from RefSeq and is a predicted model, not a curated record. NCBI's taxonomy places the organism in Eukaryota, Viridiplantae, Streptophyta, Magnoliopsida, Asterales, Asteraceae.
GUUAGUGUUGUUUAUUUUCUUCCAGUUAUAAAUCGAUCAGUUUCUUGGAGCAUCAUGUCAGAAAAGCUGAAAUCGAUAAAAUUCGUGAACGCAAAAGAUGAAGAAGUGCAGUUUGUAUAUCGUUGUGUGGACGAUAAGCUUGUAAAAAUGGAUUUCAUAUGUUGCUUUGAAUCUGAUGUUAUCCUUGAUUAUCUAUCAGAUGGAUUUACAGGCGAGGUAUAUACCGAGAUACCAAGUGUAAUCUUGGAGAAGGUUAAUACUUUCUGUGUUUCACGUCGGAAGACCAUCAACAAUUUUGAUGAUGAUGAUCCUAUACUCGUCGCAAAAACGUUGCAUGAUUUCGAUCGCCAGUUUGCAUCAAAUCAGUCUCCCUACCACCUUGCUCAGCUUAUGCGUGUAGCAAAAAAAUGUUUCUAGGACCAAAAGUCAAGGAGGAUUGGGAUUGAAAAGUUUGUAAUGAGGCUUUAUUAACAAAGCAUAUUUGGAAUAUUGCAAACAGAAAGGAAACGUUAUGGGUUGAGUGGGUAAACAUUGUUAAGUAGAGAGGAAGAAACUUUUGGGAGAUCGAUUUUGAUUAUAAUAAUAAUUGGAUGGGGAAGAGCAAAUUAAACAACAAUUACAUGAAGGUCUUGAAUGCGGAGACAUCAUCACAACCUGGGAAAAAAAAUGUUGUUGUGUACAAAAAGUUCACUUGGAUACCAAAAAGCUCCAAGGGUUCCUAGCGCGCCUGAGGCAUGCUUUUUAAAACCAAGCUUGUGUCUGUAGUUUUUCUUGCACAGCCAUCCAUAAGAUAAACAUAUGACUUGGUAUUCCUCCGGAAAACCAUACAAUUUUGCUCCACUGAACUUCAGAAUUACCAUCUUUGAAGUCAUCCCAAACUCUCUUGACAGCACACUCACCUUCAUUACCAUUAUUUCGUUUCCAGAUUACUCUAUCACUUCUGUCCAAGUUUGCAGCAAUAGGAAUUUCACCAAUAUGGAUAUUGAGCUAUACAAUCUGAUAUUCUGAUGGUCAAUUUUCCAUCACCCUUUGACAAUCACUAAAAAAUUUGUAUAAAGGCCCGCUACGAUGCCACCAGUCAUACCAAAUUGAUGUACUAAUCCCAUUUCCUACUGGAUGUCUUAUAUGAGGCCCAACUUUAUCUCUUUAACUCAUUGCUUCAUAAUUGCUUUUUCCUAUUUUCAUUUCUGGCUGCUAUUGAUCUGAGGAUCAAAACCCUCUUGGACGCCACACUUAAGGUAAUUUUUAAAAAGAUUGAGGGGAUGUCUGCUGAUAAGAUUCUCAAGAUCUGCAACGUUCCUGGUUUUUGUCAUAAAGAUUUUCAACGGUGGCACGCUCUUCAUACUUGGGCUUACAGUUAAUGACCUAAUAAGUGUGGUAGUGUACAUUGUGGAUGUCUCCUGCUUUCAUAUGACUUAUUAAUCUAAAAUAGAACAAAUGGGUGUUUGACUAAUUGUGUUAUUUUUAAGUUUUUUUCAUUUUGGAUAAUGUGGUGUUAUUAUUAAGUAUGACUAGUUUUUUUUAUUUUAAGUUUGAAACUGGUACAAUAUUCGUGUGUUGUCUGUUUUUUUUUUUUUUUCUUUCUAAUAUGACAUUUGUAUCCAAGAUUCAAUAACCAUCCUUUAUAUAAAUCAUCUGGAGCUGCCAGUUGGUCCAUUAUUAAAGCUUAUGAGGCACUUCAGAAGGAAGAAAAAGAUCAUUCACAAGGAGCUGCGGACUUUACCCUUACCGGUUUACAUUAUUGACAAACCAGCAAGAAAACUGUUCGAGAAAUGAAAAGGAAGCAAGUCACGAUACUGAUGAUGAUUCAUACAAGAAAAAGGCCAAUUUGAAAAAUCUUGGGGAUGGUUCUCAUGUUAAUAUGCUAUACAUGCACAAAAAUCCAAUAAGCUUGGGAGAGGUGCUUUGUUAAUUCGCAGGAAUGGAAAUUUUUUUAAAACGAUGGGUUUGUUACUGGUCCAGGGAAACGAACCCUGCUUUAGUGGUACCAACUGCUUUCCCUAUGUUUACUGUAUUUAAUGUGCAGACUUACAUGUGUGGUGGAUCAAAUGGUCACGGAUCAAGGUGGUAGGUUCUGGUAUCGGCGUGAGUUGAUUAGAUACCGAAAUGCUUUAGGUUUGACUGUCUAAAUUUUGAUGUGUUUAAUAUGACUACAGAACUUAUAUCAUACAACAGGAGUUAUGUGUCAAACUUACGCUUUGGGUGA